CAUGAAUCAAGUUGAUAAUCUACUGGCAAAUAUUAUUAAAUCCUUGUCUAGAGAAGAGAAAUUAUGAAGAUUAAUUAUAGAUAAAACUUAUCGGUGGUCAUUGGCCAUUGGACAUAAACAUUACACAACAAGUUGGAAAUCUCAAAUUCAACAAAUGAUGGUUUGGAAGGAAUCAGUGGCUAACUUGCAUGCGUUGUAAAGCAAUUACUAGCCUGCUAUUCAGUGGAGUGGGUGUGUGGUCCAAGUCUGGGUUUAAGGGUCUCUUUUCCCAGCUUAAAAGGAUAAACAUUCAAAACGAUACGUCAGAAAAGGUUGAGUACAUUAGCCAUGCUUUCAAUCCAGCAUGAUUUACGUCGUGUGUAAAACAACUGUAAAGCUCAGAACUGGGAAAUCUCAGACUUCAGUGAGUUCAAGACAACUGGGAACUGGCUCCGACUGGGAAAAUACACUUUGAACUGUCAUCCAACUCAGAAUUCCAAGUUGGGAACUCAGGCCUCUUUCUAGAGCUCCGACCUGAAGAUUCUUUCUAGAGCUCCAACCUUGUUUUUUUUCCACAGUUACUAUUUAUCUUGAAAACACCAUACAUCCAGAGAAUGCCAGACUUUGACGAUAUUGUUUGAUGACAAAAUUGGACCGUGAAGGACCGACUCCACCUUCCUGUUCAAGUGAGCACAGCACAACAAGGUUGAACCUUGGAAUCUACAGGAACAUGGAGCACUCCGUGCCGGUGCUACAGAGACAGGCUCGUCCAAGGACAUCCAGAGCCUUUUGACCAACCACCUGCGAUCUCUCCGGAGCACAGAGAAGUGAGUCUACUGGUCUAUGGAACUCUAGAGCAGCACAUCACAAAACCUGCCACCCUGUUGUCAGCUAUCCACAGACUUUCAAUGGCCACAUUUUGGGGAUGGCCAAAUGCAAUAAAAUGUUCUAUAAACAAGUCACUCAUAUUGUAAGAUUACAAAAGAAAAACUCUGAGGGUAUUUGUCAUGUCGGUUUUCACAUUUUUACAAAACUUCUGUGAUAACUUAAACAUCAAGACAAAUACACUUCAAAGGUCUAAAAUAAAUGCAAGUAUCAUGUCCAGAGUGAAUAUAUUUGUAUUAAUGUAUAUCAUACAGGUGUCUCAACUAAAAUAUAUAUCCCAGACAAAAUUAAGGAAUGGGACAAAGUGAAUAUAAGUCUGUGCUUGCGUACUUAGCAGUUUGUAUGAAUUUGAGUGGCUACAUUCGGUACAUGUUGACAGAUUGGCUGUGAGACAGAGAGACUGUUGCUGUACUCCCAGGUAAGCCCCUUGCUUCCGGAACAACCCCACUAUUCAGUCAGGAAGCUUAAUAAAGAAGAUGUGUGUCACUAUCCAAGCCCAUGUCACAGCACGCAGUGGCCUGAUAGGGAGAUGACAAUAAACGUAUUAUGUACCUUUCAUCUCCAAAGUCAUGUUCACAGUACAUGUUGCUGAACAAUUCAACCCGUUUUGUUAGUGUCAUUUAUAUGGAAAUUCACAUACAAAUAUUCAGUUCUUAAGCUCUGACUGUAAUACCUAUAGGGUCCAGUGGUGAAAGACUGCUGUGCAAGGUAUUGGGGCAACAGCAUUCUUCCAUGUCCCGUAUUUACAAAGGGGGUGUUUAUCUAGUUUAUAGAUUUCUAGGUUGGUGGUUUGUGUGGUUCCCAAUUAGAGGCAGCUGGUAAUCGUUCCAUCUAAUUGGGGAUCAUAUUUAGGUAGGCUUUUUCCCCACCUGCAUUUGUGGGAUAAUGUUUGUGUGUUUGAGCACUACGUCGUCACGGACUUUGUAAGUGUUGUUAUUUUGAUUCUAGUUUCACUUUGUAAUUAAAGAUGUGGAACUCAA
Molecule: long non-coding RNA, 1844 nt
Organism: Oncorhynchus tshawytscha (Chinook salmon)
Lineage: Eukaryota; Metazoa; Chordata; Actinopteri; Salmoniformes; Salmonidae
Source: Ensembl